Molecule: long non-coding RNA, 523 nt
Filed under: Homo sapiens (human)
Lineage: Eukaryota; Metazoa; Chordata; Mammalia; Primates; Hominidae
Description: HSALNT0371873
Source: RNAcentral
CUGAGCUGCGCUCCCCGCCCGGGCCUCUUCCGCCUCCGUUUCCUCAGCUGCCGGGAGCUGCCCGGAGAACCAGGCGCCUCCCAGUUGCUUUCGCCUCCCGCGUUGUUCGGCCAGAGCCUCGGCGCUGCUGCGUUUUGACUGGAGAUCUGAACGCUGCGUUAGGCCCCUUUCCCGUGAGCAGCAGAAGCCAGUUCUCCUGCCUUAACCACGGGAAUCACCGCCAGGCAGCGGGCGGUUCCCUGGAGGGCAGGGAGGGCUGGGGCCCCGGCCGCUCCAGAGGGUCCCAGGGCAGGAGGGACGCGUCGACGCCCAUCCCAGCACAGACUAUGUACAGCUGAUCAGUCUGAUGGCCCCAGAUGAACAAUGAGAUUCGCCAUUCCACAGUCUUCAUUUACAGCAGUCUGCACUGUUGAGAGGCUCCAGCCGUCACACUCACUCACAGGGGCCUCUCCAAGUUUCUUGCUGAAGACAUCCACAGGUCUUAACCAGGCUGGUCCACCGCGGUCUUGUGAUUCGAGGCACA